RNAcentral lists this ribosomal RNA (328 nucleotides) under uncultured eukaryote. RNAcentral describes it as "partial 18S ribosomal RNA". It matches the Rfam family "Eukaryotic small subunit ribosomal RNA", at positions 1470 to 1796 of the family's 1831-position model. The record is from RNAcentral.
CCCUUAGACGUUCUGGGCCGCACGCGCGCUACACUGACGAAGGCAACGAGCUUUCCUUUACCGAAAGGUACGGGUAAUCUUUUGAAACUUCGUCGUGCUGGGGAUAGAUCCUUGCAAUUUUUGAUCUUAAACGAGGAAUGCCUAGUAAGCGCAAGUCAUCAACUUGCGUUGAUUACGUCCCUGCCCUUUGUACACACCGCCCGUCGCUACUACCGAUUGAAUGAUUUAGUGAGGACUUCGGACUGGGACCGAUGCGGCUUUCGGGCUGCGUCGGUAUUCUGGAAAGAUGUCCAAACUGUAUCAUUUAGAGGAAGUAAAAGUCGUAACA